Small nucleolar RNA from Chelonoidis abingdonii (Abingdon island giant tortoise), 91 nucleotides. Lineage: Eukaryota; Metazoa; Chordata; Testudines; Testudinidae. The record is from Ensembl.
UGGAGAUGGCCAUGAUGGUUUAAGCCAGAACGUUGGAACCUGGCUGAAGUUUUGCUGAUGAAUCUUUUAUGGCUCUGAGGCUUCUCUGGUG